UUGGAGGGCAGUCUGGUGCCAGCAGCCGCGGUAAUUCCAGCUCCAAUAGCGUAUAUUAAAGUUGUUGCAGUUAAAAAGCUCGUAGUUGAACCUCGGGGUCUACCCAUUGGUCAGGCUUAAUUGUCUGCACUGGUGAGAUGAAUCUCUACCUUCUGAGGAACUUUCAUGCCAUUUAUUUGGUGUGAUGGGAAAUCAGGACUGUUACUUUGAAAAAAUUAGAGUGUUUAAAGCAGGCUAACGUCUGAAUACAUUAGCAUGGAAUAAUGAAAUAGGACGGACUGAUUCUAUUUCGUUGGUUUCUAGGAUCACCGUAAUGAUUAAUAGGGAUAGUUGGGGGCAUUUGUAUUCAAUUGUCAGAGGUGAAAUUCUUGGAUUUAUUGAAGACUAACUACUGCGAAAGUAUUUGCCAAGGAUGUCUUCAUUAAUCAAGAACGAAAGUUAGGGGAUCGAAGACGAUCAGAUACCGUCGUAGUCUUAACCAUAAACUAUGCCGACUAGGGAUCGGACGAAGUUAAUUUUAUAAUGACGCGUUCGGCGCCUUACGGGAAAC
RNAcentral lists this ribosomal RNA (550 nucleotides) under uncultured Glomeromycotina. Its description in RNAcentral is "SSU rRNA". It matches the Rfam family "Eukaryotic small subunit ribosomal RNA", at positions 548 to 1098 of the family's 1831-position model. Lineage: Eukaryota; Fungi; Glomeromycota. The record is from RNAcentral.